RNAcentral lists this ribosomal RNA (498 nucleotides) under uncultured bacterium. Its description in RNAcentral is "bacterial SSU rRNA". It matches the Rfam family "Bacterial small subunit ribosomal RNA", at positions 8 to 518 of the family's 1533-position model. The record is from RNAcentral.
AGAGUUUGAUUAUGGCUCAGGACGAACGCUGGCGGCGUGCCUAACACAUGCAAGUCGAGCGGGGACCGGGCUUCGGCCUGGUUCUAGCGGCGGACGGGUGAGUAACGCGUGAACAAUCUGUCCUGUACAGGGGGAUAACACUUGGAAACAGGUGCUAAUACCGCAUAAGCCCACGGCCCGGCAUCGGGCAGGGGGAAAAGGGGCAACUCGGUAUAGGGUGAGUUCGCGUCCCAUUAGCUGGUUGGCGGGUAAAGGCCCACCAAGGCAACGAUGGGUAGCCGACCUGAGAGGGUGAUCGGCCACACUGGAACUGAGAAACGGUCCAGACUCCUACGGGAGGCAGCAGUGGGGAAUAUUGGGCAAUGGGGGAAAAACCCCCUGACCCAGCAACGCCGCGUGAGGGAAGAAGGCUUUCGGGUCGUAAACCUCUGUCCCAUGGGAAGAGCAGAAGACGGUACCAUGGGAGGAAGCCCCGGCUAACUACGUGCCAGCCGCCGC